AACGCACAUUGCGCCCGCUAGUAUUCUAGCGGGCAUGCCUGUUCGAGCGUCAUUUCGUCCCUCAAGCCCCCCCGGGCUUGGUGUUGGGGCACUGCGUUACAGCGACGCAGGCCCUCAAUUAUAUCGGCAGGACCCUCGUAGGUUCCGGGCGCAGUAAUCAACUAUCGCCUCUGGGAGCUCGAUCGCCCUCGCCGUAAAACAACCAUUAAAACACCUUAAGAUUGACCUCGGAUCAGGUAGGAAUACCCGCUGAACUUAA
Molecule: unclassified non-coding RNA, 259 nt
Filed under: uncultured fungus
Lineage: Eukaryota; Fungi
Description: partial contains 5.8S ribosomal RNA, internal transcribed spacer 2, and large subunit ribosomal RNA
Rfam family: 5.8S ribosomal RNA (bases 1-52)
Source: RNAcentral